GAUUGUUGCAUUUUGGUUCGUUUGGAUAAACUUCAUUUAUUAGACGUCUGAUUGGACUGAACAUUUUGACAAGAAUUCAGUGACARAAGGGGCCCAUUCAUCUUUGAAGUCGUGGGCCGAAGAAGAGGAAUGCAAGUAACAUCAGUAAUGACCUCGUUUAACUUGUGACAGAGAAUAAGUGUGGAUACAUAAAACCCCAAACUCUUCAUGGUAUCUAAUGCCUUCAGCAUUUAAAAUGCCAAAGGAAAUACCAUGCUGAGAAAAUGGCUUUGGAAGAAGAUUAACAGGCAUCCACUGAGUAGUCUGUAGCAUGUGCRAACUGCACUAAUAGCUUAGUGU
Nothoprocta perdicaria is the source of this 339-nucleotide long non-coding RNA. RefSeq lists it as uncharacterized. Lineage: Eukaryota; Metazoa; Chordata; Aves; Tinamiformes; Tinamidae. The transcript is spliced from 4 exons. The record is from RefSeq and is a predicted model, not a curated record.